CUCUGCAGCCAUAUCCUGCAAUAAACUAAGCCCACUAACACAACAAUGAAUAUGUAACCGCAACUCGUCAUUCACCUUCUUCCACUCAGCAACCACAUCGUCUUUCUUGUACCAGCCUUCUAGUUGAUCCAGGUUGAUGACGUUUGAGAUGGUUAAGGUCAAGUUAGCGGUGAAGUCACAGUGUGAAAGAAUAUAUGUGCGUGGUGUUAUAAUCCCUCCGCUAGCUUUAGCCUCCAAUAUCUCCCCUAAGAACUCCACUUUGAGCUUUGAGGAAUCAAAGUUUGCUUGUGGAACUAAAAGCCUUACAGCCUAAUUCACAAUCAUUAACAUGAAGAGUUCAAUUUCAUAUAACAGUGAGAUCGAGUUCAGAAGUGAAUCUAUGAUCAGAUAUUUUCGCAAUUCGCCUCUCUCAGUCCACAAAUAUGGGCGAAAAUUUUCAAAAAAAAAAGAAAAAAGAAGAUCUUUGGCUCACCUCGGAAACUAAAGUAUUGUGGGAGAUGCCACCGUCGCUAAUGGCUGAGCUUCGAGGAACCCUAAUUCUUGUCUUCAGGAGCUUGCCGCAGGAACGGUGAUGGUGGCCGAUGAAUUUUCGAUUGGGACAAAACAGAACUGGAUUGUGGUAAUAAGGAAGGAUGUGAGAGGCCAUGAGAGGAAGGAACGUAACAGCAGGGUUAAUGCAUGAGCUGAUCCUUCUUCAUUGUUCAUCUUCCACCAUUUUUGUCUUCGAGAGAGAUAGAUAUGUGGGAGAGCAGAUGUUAUUAUUCAAAGAUACACAGCCACAAACUGAGUUGCGGAGCUUUUUUCUCCACACAAUCAACAAUUUACAAUUCAUUUGAGAUUUUCUCCAAAUAUUAUUAUCUUUUCUUAAUAGGUUACUAGUAAGACCCGUGCCUUGAGGAUGAUAAAAUAUUUAUUUAAAAACUUAUAUUUUUAUAUUGUAAAAUCUGAUUAUUUCUGAGGGUCUUUGCGGAUCUGGUUUAAUUCGGUUCGAUUCGGACUGGAUUUUUGCGGGCCUGGUUCAGGUUUGAGUUCACAUAACCUAUUUAAAUUUUUUCUAAAAUUAAAGUUUUCAUAUACUUUAAAUUUUUUAAAAUUUUAAAAUAAAAAUAAUAUAUACCAUAUAAAUUUGAAUAAUAUAUGCCAAAAUACUUAAACUUAACAUAAAAAUUGGUUUAGUUUAAAUAUUUGGAUAAAAAAUCAAUAGAUAUUUUAAGUAUUUUAGGUAUUUUAAGUAUCGUUUAGCUAUUUAAAACAUGUACUUAUAACUAUUUGUAUAUAUUUCCAAGUAUUUUGAACAACUUAUAAACAUCUUAUAUAUUUUUUAUAUAUUUUUAGAUAUUAAGUAUUAAAAUAAUUAAUAUAUUUAAGUAUAUAAAUCUUGUUCGGAUAUAUUCGGAUAUCCGAAAUAUUUCAGAUCGGGUUUGUUAUAGUUCUCUAGAUACCAAAGUUUUGAACCCAUUCGGAUAUCUAACCAAUUUUGGUUAAAGUUCAGUACUAUUUUUUGGAUAGGCUUUGGUUCGGUUUUUUGGAUUCAAAUUUUUUUGCCCAAUCCUAUAUUUUUAUUGCUACAAAAUUUUAAACGAAAAUGAUUUUGGUUAAUAUUGAUUUUGGGUAUUAAACAAUUUUUAAACCAAAACACAUUUUACUAUGUACGUGACUCAUUUAGUUAAUCAUUAAAAAACUGUUCUAUGCCCAUUUAAAGAAAACAAUGGCCUGAACUUUAAAAAUGCUACCAUUUCAAAUUGUAAAUCGACACUUUCAAAUAUUCUAUGUCGGUGUUGUGAAGAAUAGAAAGGAGAUUAGGGUUAGGAAAUCAAAUUUGUUGUGCAAUUGAUGUUCUCGCAAAGUAAUUUCAAUAGUUUCUAAAUAAAUCUUAGUUGUAUCGAUCUCUCGUAAGAUUUUUGAACAAUAUUAAUUAAUAAAAUCUUGCACUUGCUAGAGUAAUGAAUUAUUUCUCAAUUAAUAUAUAGGAAAUUAAGGUAAUCACAUAAAUCAACAUAAUACCUCUUGUUUAUUUAUAGCUAGGUGUUUUCCUGCACCAUGUGCAGUAAGAAAUUUUUUAAAUCUAAUUUAUAUUUAAAAAUAAAAUUUAUUAAAUAUUAUAAAUUUUACUAUUUUCUUACUAAUAUUUAAUAUAGAUUUGAUAUAUAUUAAAUCAAUUUGUAUAAAACUAAUAAAAAUGAUAUAAAAUUGUAUAUUUAUCAAAAAUUUGCUAAACAAUAUUUAUAAAAUUUGUAGAUAUAUAAUAAACUAAUGAUCUUACGAUUAGAUAUUUAACUUUUUCUAAAUUGUAGAAAUUUUUGAAAGCUUUGGUAAUACAAAUUGUAUAAUUAUACAAAAUUAAUAAUAUUUCAAAAUUUGAAAUGUUAUAUAUGAAUAUAUUUAUUUGAUAGAUGAUGUAUGAGCUAUUACCCUAUUUAAAAAAAGUUUACCAAAAAGAAAUAUCAAUAUUAAAUGUAAUAUAUGAAUUAUUACCAUAUUCUAAUAAGUUUGCAAAAAAUAUAACUCAACAUUAAAUAAAAUUAUUCAUGUCAUAUUUUUUCGGAAGCCAUGUCAUCAAUUUCAGUAGCCAUGUCAUAUUUGUUUUGUAAAAUUGAUUGUAGAGAUGACAUGUGGCAAAAUCACUUCGCAAAUAUAGUCUAGGGGAUAUGUUUAUGGUAAAUAAAUCAAAAUAAUUAUUUUAUAUGUUUUAUAUGCUAUAUAAUUAUAUUCAUUGAUAGUGACAUAACUAUAUAGUAUUUUUAAUAUAAAUAUUUAUUAUUGAGAUUUCUUACUUAUAUGGUUUUAUUAACAUUUGUAUAAAACUCAAUUUGAGAUAAAAGAGAAUGAGCUGCGAGACUAGGGUUUUGGCGAGAAACGAAACUAGGGCUUUGAAUUCGGAGGAUCAGGAUGCCAUGAUGGAUGUGGGGGAGAGAUCGAGACCGCCAGGAGACCCGCCCGAUAGGGUGACCACAUGGGCAGCAAAGGCGGUGGGUACGACGGCAGGAGGUAUGCCGGUUCCAGAGGCUUUGAUUGAUGAUGUGUUUGUGUCGAGAAGGCUCAGAGUAGAUUUUCCGAAUGGAGAAGAUGGAGAACCAUCGAUCACGAUUGAGAACGAGGUACUUGAAGCAAUGAACGGGAUGUGGAAGCAGUGUAUGAUUGUUAGGGUUUUGGGAAGUAACGUCCCGAUCUCUGCCUUGAGAAAGAAGCUAAGAGAGUUAUGGAACCCUAAAGGAGGAAUGUAUGUAAUGGACCUACCCAGAAAAUUUUUUAUGCUUCGUUUCGAGAAGGAGGAUGAAUAUUUGGCGGCACUGACAGGGGGUCCAUGGAGGGCUUUUGGCAGUAAUCUCAUGGUGAGAGCUUGGUCGCCGGAGUUCGAUCCGUUAAGAGAUGACAUCGUUACGACGCCGGUUUGGAUCAGGUUGACAAAUAUUCCAGUGAACUUUUACCAUCGAUCGAUCCUCAUGGGUAUUGCCAAGGGUUUGGGUAAACCAGUUCGUGUUGACUUGACCACAUUGAAGUUUGAAAGAGCAAGGUUUGCGAGAGUUUGUGUAGAAGUUAAUCUUGCAAAGCCGUUGAAAGGGACAGUCCUAAUUAACGGAGAGAGAUACUUUGUAGCUUACGAAGGGUUAGCUGAGAUCUGUUCAAAGUGCGGAAUUUAUGGACACUUGGUUGAUGGAUGCCCAAGAACAAUUACGGAAAUAUUGGCUGAAGUAGCUAUACAGACGGAGGCACAGUCAGCUACGCGAUCACCCACUAGACAAGAACCAAUAGUGCAGGAGAAUGGUUUUACUCCGGUGAGGAGCUCAAGAAGAGGGACGCAGAUACUGCCUCGACUGGUGAACGGCAGGACUGCGGAAGCCGGCGGGGAGACAGACAGGGAUGUCCAAGAGAUCCCGCGGAAGGGGAACCGAGUGAGGAAGUGAUCUCUGGUGAGGGAGAUAAGGAGAAUCAGGAGGUAAACAUUCAGAAUGCUAGGGUAAGGGAACCUUACAAGAGAAGAAAUCCUUAGUUUUUGGUAGCAAUGGAAGUAUUAAUUUGAAUGGAGGAAAUAAAGAGAGAGGGAAUGGAAAUAAAAAAAUAAUGGAGGGAGUAAGAGGAAGGCCCAAAAAAUCGACUAACAGGUCGGUUAGAAGAUUGGUUUUUGGGCCGACUAAGGGAGAGACUAACCUGUCGACAUCAGGAAAAUGACUGAGAGUGGAGAAUAUGUAUGCAGGGAGACCUGGUGGAGUUUUCAGAGAUAGUGUGGAGGUCAGGGUUAUGCCUAAGCUUCUUCAGCUGCGAGAUGAGGGGUUAGAAAAUCCGAUGGAGAUCAUUAGAAGUGAGACAGAGAAGAAAAUGGUGGAAGAACCGACGACGGUGCAGGUGGAGGAGGUAGUGGGAUCCCUAGCAUAACAGGGUGCCCCGAGAAUUCAAUCGGAGAUUUUUAUAAUUAUGAUGAUGAAUUGUUUAUUCUGGAAUUGCCGGGGAGCAAAUAAACCUAAUUUCAGACGGUCUAUUAGGUAUAUUCUGAAGAAAUAUCAAACUGAUUUUCUGGCAUUGUUCGAAACUCAUGCGAGUGGAGAUAAAGCAAUGAAGAUUUGCCACAACCUGGGGUUUGACAACUCUUUUCGUGUAGAUGCUAUUGGUCAAAGUGGUGGAAUUUGGAUUUUAUGGAGAGAUCAAGCGGGAGUGAUUACGGUGUUGGAAUCAUCGGAUCAGUUUGUGCAUGCGAGGGUGAUGAUUGGGACUGAGAUUAUACAUAUUAUUGCGGUCUAUGCGGCUCCUACGGUUAGUCGAAGGAGUGGUCUCUCGGGACAGUUGAAGCGGGUGUUAGAGAAUAUUGAUGAACCGGUUAUAGUGGGUGGUGAUUUCAACACCAUUUUAAGAUUGGAUGAGUGAUCUGGAGGGAAUGGUAGACUUUCACCAGACUCUAUGGCGUUUGGGGAUUGGAUUAAUGAUUUAGCUCUGGUGGAUAUGGGAUUCAGAGGAAAUACCUUUACUUGGAGGAGAGGUAAAGAUACACAGCACUUUGUGGCGAAGCGACUUGAUAGAGUUUUGUGUAGUGCGCAGACUCGCGUGAGAUGGCAGGAGGCAGUAGUCACUCAUCUUCCUUUUUAGCUUCAGAUCAUGCACCAAUGUAUGUACAAAUGGAGCCGGAGCGGAAAGGAGAUCCGAAAAGGAGACCGUUUAGAUUCAAAGCUGCGUGGCUUAAGCAUGAUGGUUUCAAGGAGCAACUAUCAACAUCUUGGAACAGUGAGAUGAGUACUCCAGAGGCACUGGUGUCUUUGAAGGAGAAACUUAAGAAAUGGAAUAAAAAGAUAUUUGGAGAUGUGAUCAAACGAAAAGAGAAACUGCUCGGGGAUAUAAAAGAAGUUCAGGAGGAACUGGAGAGAAACCCAUCAGAUGGUCUGUUGGCAAGGGAGGAGACAUUACAAAAAGAGUUUGAUGUUGUCCUUGAACAGGAGGAGGUGCUCUGGUACCAAAAAUCACGAGAGAAAUGGAUAGUGCUUGGAGAUAGAAACACGACGUACUAUCACACGAGUACCAUUGUGAGAAGAAAGAGGAAUAGAAUAGAGAUGCUGAAGAGUGAAGAUGGCCACUGGAUUGACCAGUCAGAACAGUUGGAGCAACUAGCAAUGAACUACUAUAAGAGACUGUAUUCAACUGAGGAUAUAUCUCUCGAUAUUCGUGUAGAUGCUAUUGGUCAAAGUGGUGGAAUUUGGAUUUUAUGGAGAGAUCAAGCGGGAGUGAUUACGGUGUUGGAAUCAUCGGAUCAGUUUGUGCAUGCGAGGGUGAUGAUUGGGACUGAGAUUAUACAUAUUAUUGCGGUCUAUGCGGCUCCUACGGUUAGUCGAAGGAGUGGUCUCUCGGGACAGUUGAAGCGGGUGUUAGAGAAUAUUGAUGAACCGGUUAUAGUGGGUGGUGAUUUCAACACCAUUUUAAGAUUGGAUGAGUGAUCUGGAGGGAAUGGUAGACUUUCACCAGACUCUAUGGCGUUUGGGGAUUGGAUUAAUGAUUUAGCUCUGGUGGAUAUGGGAUUCAGAGGAAAUACCUUUACUUGGAGGAGAGGUAAAGAUACACAGCACUUUGUGGCGAAGCGACUUGAUAGAGUUUUGUGUAGUGCGCAGACUCACGUGAGAUGGCAGGAGGCAGUAGUCACUCAUCUUCCUUUUUAGCUUCAGAUCAUGCACCAAUGUAUGUACAAAUGGAGCCGGAGCGGAAAGGAGAUCCGAAAAGGAGACCGUUUAGAUUCAAAGCUGCGUGGCUUAAGCAUGAUGGUUUCAAGGAGCAUUCACCUAAAUCUCCCUAAACUUAAUAUGAGCCAAAUUUAACUAAAACAAAAAUCGUUUCGUGAACACAUUUAAUCAUUUAAUUAGGUUUUAUUUUCUGUGGGGUCAAAAGAGAAAAUUCAGUGGCUAAAUUUUCAAAAAUCAUAUCAUUUUCAUGUAAAAUUUUACAAUAAAUGUGUAAUAGAAAAUUUGCGAAUAUCGUUCUAUAUAAAUUAAUGUCUAAGAGAUUUUUAUAUUAGUCCCCAAGCUAGAUAAGUGCGGGUUUAUAAUCAAUUCAAAUGGAACUCUGAAGAUGUUUUACGAACAAGUUUCUGAUAAGAACUUCGGGUAUGAACAAUUGAAAUUUGGCAGAUUGUACUUGUGUCAGAUGCUCAUCACUUGCAAAAAAAUAAAGAAGAGGAGAAUGUACAACUUGUCUCACAGAAGAAAUGUAAACAGGGUAUGAAAAAUAGACUUAGGCUGAAUCAGUUUCCUCGAAGAAGUUUUUGAACUCAAGAAGCCUUGACGAUUGCCUUCCUGCUUUCCCUUCACCACCAAAUGAAAACACACACAUGACCAAAGAUUUCAGCUGUAUGAAAGGAAGCAUGAGAGUUAAGGAGCAAGGUGAAUAAGGUAAUGUACCUUUGCAGCGUCUUUGAGAGGUCCCCAACACUCAAUCCGAUUGUAUUUAGGUGUGCUUGAAUGGAAAUAAACCCAUACAUAAGCAUCCAUUAGCUCAGGGUUCUCUCUAAACAUGACUGAAUCUCCAUAGAUCACAGCUUUUAGCCCCUAUGAACCACAAUGCCAAAGAGUUUACGACAACUCAUUUCUGCAUUUCUUUUGUACCAAUUAGACCAAAAAAAAAAAAAAAAGAAGGAAGAAAACUAACCAAAGGCAGUUCCUUGGAGAAUAUGUGAUACCUAAGCUCUGCAGCCAUAUCCUGCAAUAAACUAAGCCCACUAACACAACAAUGAAUAUGUAACCGCAACUCGUCAUUCACCUUCUUCCACUCAGCAACCACAUCGUCUUUCUUGUACCAGCCUUCUAGUUGAUCCAGGUUGAUGACGUUUGAGAUGGUUAAGGUCAAGUUAGCGGUGAAGUCACAGUGUGAAAGAAUAUAUGUGCGUGGUGUUAUAAUCCCUCCGCUAGCUUUAGCCUCCAAUAUCUCCCCUAAGAACUCCACUUUGAGCUUUGAGGAAUCAAAGUUUGCUUGUGGAACUAAAAGCCU
RNAcentral lists this long non-coding RNA (7458 nucleotides) under Brassica napus (rape). RNAcentral describes it as "long non-coding RNA (BNAP_LNC020342)". Lineage: Eukaryota; Viridiplantae; Streptophyta; Magnoliopsida; Brassicales; Brassicaceae. The record is from RNAcentral.